Molecule: ribosomal RNA, 459 nt
Filed under: uncultured bacterium
Lineage: Bacteria
Description: partial 16S ribosomal RNA
Rfam family: Bacterial small subunit ribosomal RNA
Source: RNAcentral
CCUACGGGCGGCAGCAGUGAGGAAUAUUGGUCAAUGGUCGGGAGACUGAACCAGCCAAGCCGCGUGAGGGAUGAAGGUACAGAGUAUCGUAAACCUCUUUUGUCAGGGAACAAAGGCGGGGACGUGUCCCCGGAUGAGUGUACCUGAAGAAAAAGCAUCGGCUAACUCCGUGCCAGCAGCCGCGGUAAUACGGGGGAUGCGAGGGUUAUCCGGAUUUAUUGGGUUUAAAGGGUGCGCAGGCGGUCUGUUAAGUCAGCGGUAAAAGCCCGGGGCUCAACCCCGGCCCGCCGUUGAAACUGGCAGUCUCGAGUUGGAGAGAAGUAUGCGGAAUGCGCGGUGUAGCGGUGAAAUGCAUAGAUAUCGCGCAGAACUCCGAUUGCGAAGGCAGCAUGCCGGCUCCACACUGACGCUGAGGCACGAAAGCGUGGGUAUCGAACAGGAUUAGAUACCCGAGUAGUC